RNAcentral lists this long non-coding RNA (372 nucleotides) under Rattus norvegicus (Norway rat). RNAcentral's name for it is "long non-coding RNA NONRATT011389". Lineage: Eukaryota; Metazoa; Chordata; Mammalia; Rodentia; Muridae. The record is from RNAcentral.
CGCUGUCCUUGGAGCGCGUGAUAGGAGGGGUGAAAGUGGGUGCCAGUGCAGGGAGAUUGGAGCGUCCUUCAGUUGGCACAGGAGGGGAGGAGUCUGGAGAGGUCGAUGGAGGAGGCUCUCCGGUAACCUGAAGCUGCCUCGAGUCAGGGAGCACCAAGGACCCUUGACCCUGCUGCAGGGCCAGCCGCCACAAUGGCGGCCCAUCUUCUGUGUUCUGCGUGGAGAUGGACAUCUAGAAUGGUUCAGUCACAAGGAGAACUAUGAGUCUGGGGGCUGUCCGCUAGGCUCCGCAGCUCUAACCGGGUAUACACUGCUCACAUCCCAGCGUGAAUACCUCUGCCUUUUGGAUGACCUCUGCCCCAGCUCCUCUGG